GCGGCCUAUCAGCUUGUUGGUGAGGUAAUGGCUCACCAAGGCGACGACGGGUAGCCGGCCUGAGAGGGCGACCGGCCACACUGGGACUGAGACACGGCCCAGACUCCUACGGGAGGCAGCAGUGGGGAAUAUUGGGCAAUGGAGGGAACUCUGACCCAGCGACGCCGCGUGCGGGAUGAAGGCCUUCGGGUUGUAAACCGCUUUCAGCAAGGAAGAAGCGAAAGUGACGGUACUUGCAGAAGAAGCACCGGCUAACUAUGUGCCAGCAGCCGCGGUAAUACAUAGGGUGCAAGCGUUGUCCGGAACUAUUGGGCGUAAAGAGCUCGUAGGUGGUUCGUCACGUCGGAUGUGAAAAUCUGGGGCUUAACCCCAGACCUGCAUUCGAUACGGGCGAGCUAGAGUGUGGUAGGGGAGACUGGAAUUCCU
RNAcentral lists this ribosomal RNA (426 nucleotides) under uncultured Actinomycetes bacterium. RNAcentral describes it as "bacterial SSU rRNA". It matches the Rfam family "Bacterial small subunit ribosomal RNA", at positions 233 to 671 of the family's 1533-position model. Lineage: Bacteria; Bacillati; Actinomycetota; Actinomycetes. The record is from RNAcentral.